Molecule: ribosomal RNA, 423 nt
Filed under: uncultured bacterium
Lineage: Bacteria
Description: bacterial SSU rRNA
Rfam family: Bacterial small subunit ribosomal RNA
Source: RNAcentral
UGAGGAAUAUUGGUCAAUGGGCGCAAGCCUGAACCAGCCAUCCCGCGUGCAGGAAGACGGCCCUAUGGGUUGUAAACUGCUUUUCCAGGGGGAGAAUUUUUCUGUCGUGACAGGAAUUGACGGUACCCUGGGAAUAAGCAUCGGCUAACUCCGUGCCAGCAGCCGCGGUAAUACGGAGGGUGCGAGCGUUAUCCGGAUUUAUUGGGUUUAAAGGGUGCGUAGGCGGAUUGAUAAGUCAGUGGUGAAAACCUGCAGCUUAACUGUAGACUUGCCGUUGAUACUGUCAGUCUUGAGUAUGGUCAAGGUAGGCGGAAUGUGUAAUGUAGCGGUGAAAUGCUUAGAUAUUACACAGAACUCCGAUUGCGAAGGCAGCUUACUGGGCCAUUACUGACGCUGAUGCACGAAAGCGUGGGGAUCGAACAG